Molecule: ribosomal RNA, 253 nt
Filed under: uncultured bacterium
Lineage: Bacteria
Description: partial 16S ribosomal RNA
Rfam family: Bacterial small subunit ribosomal RNA
Source: RNAcentral
UACGUAGGGGGCUAGCGUUGUCCGGAUUUAUUGGGCGUAAAGAGCGUGUAGGCGGCCAGGUAGGUCUGCUGUGAAAACUCGAGGCUCAACCUCGAGACGUCGGCGGAAACCAUCUGGCUAGAGUCCGGAAGAGGAGAGUGGAAUUCCUGGUGUAGCGGUGAAAUGCGCAGAUAUCGGGAGGAACACCUAGUGCGAAGGCAGCUCGCUGGGACGUAACUGACGCUGAGACGCGAAAGCGUGGGGAGCAAACAGG